AUGGGCAUGGAGACGUUUCACAUCUCCCAGACAAUGUUCAUGGACAGGACAACUUACUCGGAAACCAAUGAGGACCCACAACUUGCGGUCACCGCUGAAGGGACGCCCUUGGUGUUACUUCUGUCAAGACCAGGCCUCCAGCUAAAGGUCUGCACGCGGCAAGAUGGAAGAAAGAGCGAGAAUGGUGCUGUUGCCAAGGCCAUGUGGCUCACCACGCGCACUGUCGAGUUGAAACCACCUAGUCUGAUUAAAAGAAGGCCAGAGAAAAUAUACCUAAGAUUGUUAGGAGAGAAGAGUGGAACGAUGCUACUUAAGGAUAGUCAGAGGCAGAUUUACGUAGCUGACGUUGAGACAGGAGAGAUGGAGGAGUUUGAGUUGCCUGACGGUUUUGAUGGGCUUAAUCGUCGGAAGGUCGUGUUGUUAGAGAUGGACUGGUUGGCGCUAUUUGUUUCCCGGCUCCGGAAGUGGUAG
This 471-nucleotide ribosomal RNA is filed under the name Triticum aestivum (bread wheat). RNAcentral's name for it is "partial small subunit ribosomal RNA". The record is from RNAcentral. Lineage: Eukaryota; Viridiplantae; Streptophyta; Magnoliopsida; Poales; Poaceae.